GAGUGAUCACAGUUUUUGAGAAUCAUGAUGAGGCAUUAAAGAAGAGGAGGAGUGUCUCAAGGGAGGUGAGCUGGAGGUGAUGCAAGCUCCUGAGAUUCUGAGAGCUGUGCUUCCAUUGUGUCUAGAAAAGCGUCUGGCACAUAUGAGCCUCAGACUCAGGGCUGGGACCCUUGGGACUCAAAAGAGAGAAAAGGUGGAGAAAAGAGAAAGCUACUAUUUUCUUCAUUUUGCCCCUGCUAACAUCCAAUGCACUUAGGAGCCUCGAUGUCUGCUCUCCAAGAGAUGUCUGAUCUGAAAGCAUGUUGUGGUCCGCUACACACAAGAGCAAAAGAAGAGCAGGAAGGAGCUCAGUGCCAAGACCAUAGCCACAGGAAGAAAACCAGCUCUUAGGGCUGCAGCUCUAAAGACAGGCCAGGUCAUUACAGGAACGUCUGCUCCCUUAGCCUUGCCAGACAGAGGAGGGUUAAGAAAGGAACUGCUGACCCUGAUAUGCAAACUGCCACGAGUGCUUCCUGCCUUUCUAUCAGCAUCAGAUGGCUAGCGAUGGAUGGCUGUAAGAUUGAUGUAAUUAACAUUUUAUUUUCAGGGCCACAGUGCUGGUUGGGUGCACCAGACAAAUCAACCAACAGAUUAAAGAGUGAUGGAGAAA
RNAcentral lists this long non-coding RNA (649 nucleotides) under Homo sapiens (human). RNAcentral describes it as "TRD antisense RNA 1". Lineage: Eukaryota; Metazoa; Chordata; Mammalia; Primates; Hominidae. The record is from RNAcentral.